UUCUUUAAUUAUAUUUAGUUUUGUAAUCUGAAUGUGAAAAUUUUAUUUUCUAAAGAAA
Molecule: transfer RNA, 58 nt
Filed under: Amaga expatria
Lineage: Eukaryota; Metazoa; Platyhelminthes; Tricladida; Geoplanidae
Description: tRNA-Thr
Source: RNAcentral